RNAcentral lists this ribosomal RNA (481 nucleotides) under uncultured bacterium. Its description in RNAcentral is "SSU rRNA". It matches the Rfam family "Bacterial small subunit ribosomal RNA", at positions 26 to 518 of the family's 1533-position model. The record is from RNAcentral.
AGGACGAACGCUGGCGGCGUGCCUAACACAUGCAAGUCGAACGCGCUCCAUUCGGUAGCAAUACUGAUGAAGAGCGAGUGGCGAACGGGUGAGUAGCACGUGAGCAACCUGCCCCGAAGACUGGGACAACACCGGGAAACCGGUGCUAAUACCGGAUAUCCCUAUCGGACCGCAUGAUCUGAUAAGGAAAUGGAUUCCGCUUCGGGAGGGGCUCGCGGCCUAUCAGCUAGUUGGUGGGGUAAUGGCCCACCAAGGCAUCGACGGGUAGCUGGUCUGAGAGGACGAUCAGCCACACUGGGACUGAGACACGGCCCAGACUCCUACGGGAGGCAGCAGUGGGGAAUCUUGCGCAAUGGGCGAAAGCCUGACGCAGCAACGCCGCGUGGAGGACGAAGGCUUUCUGAGUUGUAAACUCCUUUCAGCAGGGACGAUAGUGACGGUACUGCAGAAGAGCACCGGCCAACUACGCGCCAGCAGCCGA